UACGUAGGGUGCAAGCGUUAAUCGGAAUUACUGGGCGUAAAGCGUGCGCAGGCGGUUGUGCAAGCCAGAUGUGAAAUCCCCGGGCUCAACCUGGGAACUGCAUCUGUGACUGCAUUGCUGGAGUGCGGCAGAGGGGGAUGGAAUUCCGCGUGUAGCAGUGAAAUGCGUAGAUAUGCGGAGGAACACCGAUGGCGAAGGCAAUCCCCUGGGCCUGCACUGACGCUCAUGCACGAAAGCGUGGGGAGCAAACAGG
RNAcentral lists this ribosomal RNA (253 nucleotides) under uncultured bacterium. RNAcentral's name for it is "partial 16S ribosomal RNA". It matches the Rfam family "Bacterial small subunit ribosomal RNA", at positions 524 to 776 of the family's 1533-position model. The record is from RNAcentral.